Molecule: ribosomal RNA, 116 nt
Filed under: Bifidobacterium breve S27
Lineage: Bacteria; Bacillati; Actinomycetota; Actinomycetes; Bifidobacteriales; Bifidobacteriaceae
Source: RNAcentral
UGCGGCGGCCAUGGCCCAGGUGAGACGCCCGGUUCCAUUCCGAACCCGGAAGCUAAGCCUGGCACGGCGAUGGUACUGCACCCGACAGGGUGUGGGAGAGUAGCACGCCGCCGCAC